Molecule: non-coding RNA, 142 nt
Organism: Pelobates cultripes (western spadefoot toad)
Lineage: Eukaryota; Metazoa; Chordata; Amphibia; Anura; Pelobatidae
Source: the annotation of a GenBank genome assembly
GCCAAUCAGCAGCAGACCCUCCCUCCCAGACCCUCCCACCUCCUGGACAGCUCACUAAGAAUGCAGCUUCACAAUGAAUGUAAAAUGGAUGCUGUCCAGGAGGUGGGAGGGUCUGGGAGGGAGGGUCUGCUGCUGAUUGCCU